UACGUAGGGGGCAAGCGUUGUCCGGAAUCAUUGGGCGUAAAGCGCGUGUAGGCGGCCAGAAAAGUCCGCUGUGAAAACUCGAGGCUCAACUUCGAGCUGUCGGUGGAAACUUUCUGGCUAGAGUCCGGAAGAGGAGAAUGGAAUUCCUGGUGUAGCGGUGAAAUGCGCAGAUAUCAGGAAGAACACCCGCGGCGAAGGCGGUUCUCUGGGACGGUACUGACGCUGAGACGCGAAAGCGUGGGGAGCGAACAGG
RNAcentral lists this ribosomal RNA (253 nucleotides) under uncultured bacterium. RNAcentral describes it as "partial 16S ribosomal RNA". It matches the Rfam family "Bacterial small subunit ribosomal RNA", at positions 524 to 776 of the family's 1533-position model. The record is from RNAcentral.